RNAcentral lists this long non-coding RNA (352 nucleotides) under Brassica napus (rape). RNAcentral's name for it is "long non-coding RNA (BNAP_LNC013415)". Lineage: Eukaryota; Viridiplantae; Streptophyta; Magnoliopsida; Brassicales; Brassicaceae. The record is from RNAcentral.
UCCAAAAUAGCACAUUUCUAAGUUUAUAUCACAAAAAUAGCACUCAAAAACUAAAAUGAUCAAAAUAGCAUUUUAUCUUUUGAAAAUUUUAAUUUUUUUAUUUUUCAAAAUUUGAAAUCUUAUCCCCAAAACCUCAUUUUUCAACUCUAAACCCUAAACCUUAAACUCUAAACCCUAAACCCUAAACUCUAAACCCUAAACCCUAAACCCUAAAUUCUAAACCCUAAACCCUAAACCCUAAAUCCUAAACCUCACCUUUUAACUCUAAACCCUAAGUUUGUGACUUUUGAUAAAACAUUAAGUGUUAUUUUUGUGACUUUUGACCUUGAGUGCUAGUUUGGAAACAAAAACU